Molecule: long non-coding RNA, 4584 nt
Filed under: Sus scrofa (pig)
Lineage: Eukaryota; Metazoa; Chordata; Mammalia; Artiodactyla; Suidae
Description: lncRNA (ENSSSCG00000058506.1)
Source: RNAcentral
GACGCCGCUCAGAGAGCUGUUGGUGGUGGAGGGCAAGUCUUGGUCUCUGAGUUUCUGUGGCGCGAACUCGCUUUAAAAACUAGAACCAGUUUUGUCCGGGUCCAGGCUCUCUGGAAAGCGGCGGCGUAGAGAAAGCACCGGGGGUUCGGGGGCAGGGAACAGUUUUGGACCUGCGGCCCAGCGUACACUGCCCGGUGGAGAGGCCGAGGAGAGAGGUCCGGAGCGCGGGGAUCUUGCGUCUUUUUGAUCUCCAGGCGUCCCCACGGAUUUCGCGCAGAAGUACCUCUCCCCAGCCCCACCUCUUGCCGUACUCCAAGGUUCCGCGGCUUCGCACCGACCGGCGCUAGGACCCGGCGGAGAGUGGAGGGAGGGGGAGGCGGACGAGUCCAGGGAGUUUGGAGGACCCGGUCGGUCCAUCCGCCUGGGCUGGAAAACUUUUUAAUUACUUCUCCUAACCGGAGUUCUAGGUGUUGCUAGGCGCGCAGAGUUGGCGCUGCUACCUGGCGCGGGGCCGCCAACUUUUUCCUGUGGGACUGGCCGAGCUGGAUUCCGGGGCUGGGGGACGGGGCGAGGGGGGACGCACCAGAGGGAGUAGGCGAAUUUGACCCAGGGGCGCGGAUCGCGAAGCGGGGUUGGCGGUCAGCGGGGUUGGAACCCACAGCCUUUUCCUCUCCUCCCCAUUCAGGUGGGCUCCAGUACCGGAGCGAGAAUAUCGAGGGAGCCGAGGCCUCGGAGUCUCGGUGGCCUAGAGUCCGAACACCGACUGGGAGAACCCUGCAGAGUGGUUUGCAGGGCGCUGAGUCCCCAGAAUCCUGGAGAACAAAGCGGCCCGGCCCGGGUGACCCCUGAGCGCCGCCUUCCCCCCCCACCCCGACACACACACAGCUGAGGGGGAAGGGGUUUAUGGCAGCGCCUUUCCCCAGCCACGUGGCGCCUCGCGCGUUCUUCUUUGGGAUCGCGGGGACAGCCGGCUCCCUUGAGGCGUCGUGGGCCAGCAAGUCUCCCCGCCUCGACCUCCCCCGCCCUCAUCGCCCCUUAGAUUAAGUGCGCUGAGGCCCAUCGCCGCCAUGGGUGCUGUUUUGGAAGUAUGCCUGUUUGAAAAUCGCCAGGCUGUGCGGGUCAGGACCCUCUCCCGGACAGUGGCCUUCCAAAGGCUGGCAAGUUGCCACAGCCCGCCCAGGAGCCCUCAAGGAGGCGCAGCGCGAAAGCAAGGCCUGGGGAGGCGGAGGUUCCAACUGUGGUCGCAGUAAAGCAGCAACUUCGUCUGGGGAACACAUACUCUGCUUUAAUCAAGUUCCUAUUCAACAUAUUCCCAGUGAUUAUUGGCCCAACUGCUUCAUUUUUUUUUUUUUUUUUUUUUUUUUUGGUCCAGAGCUCAUACAUAAGAUAUUUUCAGUUCGAUGUUUUUGGACUGGGAGUGAAAGUAGAUACAUUAAACGAAUAACCUAUGUGAGCUGAGGAGCUGGUCUCUGGGCCUGGAUCUAGGACCAUUUGUACACGUGCACCUGUGGAGAUCUGGAGGGAAACCCCAAAACAGGGCAUGGGAUUUUCAUUUUUUCUGCAAUGCUAAAAAUAACGGUCUGCCCUAGUGCAGGAACAAAGAAAAGACAAUUGGAAGUGCCCUGUUUUAGCAUACACCUGCUCUCCUGUGCAGGUAUCAGGAAUGUCUCUUCUUAGGAUCUGGGGAUAUUGCAGAGGCCCCCAGGACUGGGGGAGUACCAGAAUAAGGCCUUAUCAAUAAAGCCUUAUUGUGGGGGGAAGAGAGGCACCACAGCCAGGGCUGUAGAUCCUUCCACAGCAGAACCAGAAAGCUCCCCACUACGCCAGCUCUGUGCAAGGUGUUCAGUGGUCAGAGGUGAGUGAGAAGCAGCCCCUGCCCUCUCUCGGAGCCUUGGGCAUAGCUGGGAGACAGACAGAUCUUCACACAAAGUCACAAGGGCCUCCUCAAUGAGGAGGUGAUGCCGAAAGAGCCAGAAACGAGACUGGCUAGAAGCAUGGAGUGCAGCAAUUCGUCAUAUGUCCUUUAGGAGGUACCAGUGCAGAUGAACGAUGGAUGUGCUAUAAUAAAGCUGUGCAGACACAUAUGGGGCUUUGGAGGAGGGUGCAACCAGCUUUUGGGGGGAUAGUGCUAUGGGCUAAAUUUUGUCCUCCUGAAAAUUCAUAUGUUGAGCCCUAACCCCCAUUGUAACUCUAUUUGGAGAUGGAUUUUUCAGGAGGUGAUUAAGAUUAAAUAAGAUCAUAAGGGUGGGGUUCUAAUCUGAUAGGAUCGAUGGGCUCUCUCGCCCCCCCCCUCAGCCAUGUGAAGCCAGAGGGAGAAGGUGCUGGCAUUUGCAAACCAGGAAGAGAACCCACAGCAGAACCCAACAAUGCUGGCGCCCUAAUCUCAGACUUCUAGGCUUCAGAACUGUGAGAAAAUGCAUUUCUGUGGUUCAAGCCCCCUGUCUGGUAUUUUGUUAGGGCAGCAGGCACUGACUGAGACCAGAGGUUGAGGAGGGCUUCAUGCAGCCGUGGACCUUUGAUCCGCACCUUGAAGGAUGAGCAGGAAUUUGCUAGAAGGAGAGGUGCAAUUUGCAGAAUGGCAGGUGCAAAGGUGGAGCGGCUGCGAGUGCAUGGCGUGUUCUGGUAACAAAGGACAAGAUGUUUGAUGGGCUGGAGUGCAGGGAUUGCUGGGGAGGGGCCUAGAUAAGGCUGGAUGCACAGACAGGGCUGGGCUCACGGCCAAGGUGGCUCCGGGUGAAGGAGGACUCUCUCACAGGGUUUUGCCGCCCAGCUUCUAGCAGGGGAGCUCUGUGAUCCAAUGUGGGUUCCUGAAAGGCCACAGUGGGAGGGGCUGGAGAGGGAAGGGAUGACCGGAUGAGAAGCAGUGGCAACCUGAGGCCCCAGGAUGGGGGACAGAGGGCAGGGAUGGAUUUGAACAAAUUGUCAGGACUUGGGAGUCUGGGUAGGGGCUGAAUGCCUGGCUUCCGGCUGGGGUUACUGUCUGUCCACAACAUAAGCGAUGCAGGGAAAAUAGAGGGUCUCGUUCAAGCCCCUGGAGGUCGUGGGGUCUCACCACCCAUAGGACACUCCUUGCCUGAUUUGCAGUUCUGGAAGAGAAGACCAUGACCCAGGAACAGUCGCCAAGAUCUGCCUUCCAUAAUCUAGUUUUUCCUUUGAAGUCUAAGAGAACAUGUGUCUUGGGAUGAGGAGAAAGCUGUUUAGAGGCCAAGUAGUGGGUUUGUGGGUGGGCUGCCCAGAGAUGAGGGAGCGUCCUGGGGCUGGCGACACUGUGAAGCAAGAAUUGGCUGCAGAACCCCAGAAGCAAGAAUUGGCUGGAGACCCCAGGCUUGGCAGAGCCACUCUCCAUGGGAAGUGCCCAUGGCUGGAAGGGGGCUAUGGCCUGAAAAAUCACGUGGGCAGCCAGCAUUUUGCUGGGAUGGCUUGGGAGGGAGAUGGCUCUGUGGCUCACGCUCUGUUGAGACAGAGCCAGUAAUAAGAGAAGCUCAUAAAUCUUCCCCGAACACCUUUACGAUCCUUCUGCGUUGCCUGGAUUGAUGGCACUUGGCAGUCCUCGAGGAGAGAGAAGAGGGAGAGCUUUCUGAUAAGCCUUGGCCUCAAUGUACUCAGCAGGGGGGCGUGGGGCAGGGACCCAGGGGCUCUGACGGGGUGCCCGGCGAGAGAAGAGGCGUGCUCUGGCUCUACUUUUUACAAAGGAGAAAAUCAGCAACAGAAGUGAAAAUGCAUUUCAUAGGUGUGAAUUAUGCUCCGGAUAGCUCGGGAGAGGAAGAUGCCGAGCUGGGGGGGAGGGCAGGCUGCGAGGGGUGUGUAGGGGGGGGGAGUGAGCCUCCCGCUCUGAGAAUCGUGGUCCCGAGGUUUGGGUGCUCCUGGAUGGAGCCUGGUCCCAGAGCCGUUCACCACGCUGACCAUUUUGAGAAGAUAGGCAGAGCCUGUGGAAGUUUUUAUUUUACUUCGAUUCGCCUUUCCUAAGGCAAUGCAUAUAAGAGAAGUUUGACAAUCAAGCGAAUGCUGAAGAGCAAGUUCAAAGAGGACAAAUCAUUCUGAUUUAGUUUCUAACUUUGAUGACAGCUACGUGGAUGUAGAGUUGGUCAAAGCAGAACUAGUUAAGAUAAUUAAUAAGGUCUAAUUAAGAUAAAAGACAGGAACUGUAAUUUUCAGGCAUGGUUUGUGCUCUGACCAGGGGGCAUGAGUGUCUAAUACAGUCUGUCUACUACAGUGAUUCCCUAAAAUAUUCUCAACGACCUUCCUAAAACGUAGACAAGCAAAACAAUCAGAAGUUACUUUUUUUUUUUUUUUGCUAGGGGUCAAAUUGGAGCUACAGCUGCUGGCUUAUGCCACAGCCACAGCAAGGCGGGAUCCAAGACUCAUCUGCGACCUACACCACAGCUCACGGCAAUGCUGCGUCCCUGAGGCCAGGGAACGAACCUGCAUCCUCAUGGAUACUAGCCAGAUUUGUUUCCACGGCACCACAAUGAGAGCAGCCUGAGAAGACAUUCUUGUUACCCUGUCUCCUACUCUGUCUCACUGGGAGUUCUGGUAGUGCAGGGAUUCCUCAGAUGCAUUAAAACCCCUACUUUGUGUAUUAGG